CGGAAGUGUUGCAUUUGCUGCAACCCUUAUAAGCCCAUUGACCCUCCUGCCAAGCAUGUGGAUGUGACUGUUUUUCUGGUCUCUUCCUAGAAUGAAGCCACAUUUAUCCCCUUCUGAUUCUUUCCUCAUCUUAACAAUGAAACACAAGUCGAUUCUUCUGAGUUAUUUUCUGUUGAGUUCAACACCUCUGUCCCUGCCUCCUUCCUCCCUUCCCCCAUAUUUUUUGAAAUAUUCUCUGUUCAGUAGAGAAAAGGGCUGAUUUCAAAUUCCUAGACCAAGUAUAACAGCUCAGUCCUAAGAAUCUGAAAAGCCAUGUGAAAGUGUUUUAAUUAUUAUGUAUUGCUGGAGGAGUUCGCAGAAAUAUAGUGGGCCCUUGGGACCCUUUUAGGAAACUUGGGUUCCUAAAAGUUAACUGUGUGCUGGGUCCAUCAUUCCCAACCAUGUCCUGUCUCAGCACAUGUAGAAGCAGCACACCAGGGACCUGGGUGAGGCGCUGUGGGCAGCUGGGUGGGACAUAGGUGAGGCGCUGUGGGCAGAUGUGGCCAGUGGGUGGGACAUAGGUGAGGCGCUGUGGGCAGAUGUGGCCAGUGGGUGGGGCAUAGGUGAGGCGCUAUGGGCAGAUGUGGCCAGUGGGUGGGACAUAGGUGAGGCG
Molecule: long non-coding RNA, 652 nt
Organism: Myotis brandtii (Brandt's bat)
Lineage: Eukaryota; Metazoa; Chordata; Mammalia; Chiroptera; Vespertilionidae
Exons: 3
Source: RefSeq, a predicted model, not a curated record